Molecule: ribosomal RNA, 518 nt
Rfam family: 5.8S ribosomal RNA (bases 194-348)
AGGGAUCAUUACUGAGUUACCGCUCUAUCAACCCUUUGUGAACAUACCUAUAACUGUUGCUUCGGCGGGUAGGCGUCCCCUAAAAAGGACGUCUCCCGGCCCUCUCCCGUCCGGGCGGGUGGGGCGCCCGCCGGAGGAUAACCAAACUCUGAUUUAACGACGUUUCUUCUGAGUGACACAAGCAAAUAAUCAAAACUUUUAACAACGGAUCUCUUGGUUCUGGCAUCGAUGAAGAACGCAGCGAAAUGCGAUAAGUAAUGUGAAUUGCAGAAUUCAGUGAAUCAUCGAAUCUUUGAACGCACAUUGCGCCCGCCAGCAUUCUGGCGGGCAUGCCUGUUCGAGCCGUCAUUUCAACCCUCAAGCUCUGCUUGGUGUUGGGGCCUCUACGGUUGACGUAGGCCCUUAAAGGUAGUGGCGGACCCUCUCGGAGCCUCCUUUGCGUAGUAACAUUUCGUCUCGCAUUGGGAUUCGGAGGGACUCUAGCCGUAAAACCCCCAAUUUUACUAAGGUGACCUCGG